GGUCAUGUUAAAAUAGUACCUCUUGCUUAUCAGAAGUUGGAAAUUUGCUUAUAUAAACUCUUAAUCUUGUAUUGAGGAAGACACUGUUUUUAGGAUAAUCCAUGAAUAAAAAAUAAUGUUUUUAUGUGCUUAAGGACAGAAAGAAUAAGGUAAUUCUAUUUAUGCAUUUUUAUAUAUGAUUUAAUAGAAGAAGGAACAAACCUUUAAUUUGGCUUGAUUAGGCUUUUGACUAAUAUAAGAUUUAUCAUGUGCAUUUCAGUCAAGGGUAAUGUUCUUGAAGUC
Molecule: unclassified non-coding RNA, 282 nt
Filed under: Hevea brasiliensis (rubber tree)
Lineage: Eukaryota; Viridiplantae; Streptophyta; Magnoliopsida; Malpighiales; Euphorbiaceae
Source: RNAcentral